CAGGGCAGAGACGUUUUGCUGUGAAGUUUUAAUGCCAGCAGCCAGUGUUAUAAUUUCCGAUGACUGUGUGUUGGGACUCUUAGCUUGUAGCCCUUGGAAGUUCCCAGGAACUCUCCCAGCACCUGGAGCCUGGAGCUCUCAUCCUUGGUUGUUUAUAGUCUCUCACCAUCUGUCCUCUCAGCUCUCUGCAGUUUCUGUCCCCAGCUUCUCCCUGGAACUCUUCAGCUCCCUUCCCUCUUCUUCCAGAGAAUCCCUGAUGGGAGAAUGAGUGUCAGCAUUUCAGCAUCGAUACCACGUGCCAAACUCUGACAGUAGGAGAGAAGGGAAAUGAUCAAUGACUCUUGUGCUCCUGGAAACCACCUUCGGGUAGGACCACAGUUGGACUUUCAUGAUCUAUGACACAGAAUGUGGACACAGUUCAGAAACAGGUUGCUUUCAAUUUCAGGUGUUCAUUGCAAAGAGUCAUUGGUCUGGUUCGAGGCCUCUGGUUUCUGCUACACUAUUGAUGCUGAGCCCUCACUGGAACUCCUCUUGGUUAUCCUGCUGUUACCCUGUGAUGUGGAAACCCUGCAGCUUUGGGUUUGUAGGACUGACUGGUCCCUUCACCUGCUCCAGCAGAUCACAAAUGGGAUGGAUGUUGAGGUGGGCCAACAUAUAACCCUGGUUCUGGGCCUGGAUAGUUGCAGGGUUGGUCAGCCUGCCAGCUCUCCCUUGUCCUCACCACCAGGGUGAGCUCUCCUGCAUUUUUGUGGUGUACCUUGCAGCUAUGAGUAAGGGGAGGGGCCAGUUCUGCCUGUCCUCAGGAUCUGAUCCCUCAUACCUACUCCUUCAGGGUCAGCUCUACUGUGUUUCCCAGGCCUGGUGUAGGGGUUACUCUCCCAGGUGCUGCAGCUGGGGAGGGGAAGGGACAGCUCUUCUAGUCUUAUGAGGUCAGGGCCAGCUCUCCUACAUACCUCAGGAGUUGAUGGGAAGGUGGGGAGGGCAUCUUUCUGCUGCCCAUGCUGCCACAUGACAGAUGAGUAAUAGGGACAGCUCUCCCAUGCUCACAACUUUGGGGCUUGCUCACCCACACCUCUGCCAACAGGGUUGGCUCUAUCAUGCUGCCCUGGUGAGGUGCAAGGCCUGCUCUCUGAAGUGUUGUAGCUAGUAUCGGGCAGGGGCAGCUCUCCCAUCUGCCUCAGAGGUAUCUCUCACCCACCCAUGCAGAUACAUGAUAGAUGAGUAAUGGGGACAGCUCUUCCAUUUUAAAAACUUAGGGGCUGGCUCACCCACACUUCCACCCAUGGGGUUGGCUCUAUUGUGCUGCCUAGGAGUGGUGCAGGGCCUGCUCUCCUGAGUAUUGCAGCUGGUGGGGGGACAGGUGCAGUUCUCCUGCCCUUAUGAUCUCAGGGCCAGCUCUCCCCAACCAAGAUGGGAUAAUUUUUAAUAGUUCUGGAGUGAGAAGUAUAAAUGGAGCCAAAAGAACCCAAAUCUUAUUCUUUUCUCUGUGUUUAUUACCUCUACAUUGUCAGUAAAUUAUUUCUUGUUAACACACACACACACACACACACACACACACACACACGAGUGCACCCUUAAUUAAUAUACAGGAUCGUGAAAUUUACUGUGUGCUAUCUCCUUUUCACAAUAACAAGCUUACAGUGCAGAUACUAACAAUAUUCAUACUUUGUAGAUGAGGAAACUGAGUUUAUAGCUGUUAUAUAUCUUCUCUGAGAGCACGCUCCAACAAAUCGAAUGGACAGAAUUUCAAAUUAGGUCUGUCUGUUAUUAAAAACCUGAGAUUCUAAUCCCAUGUAUAACAUACUAGAAGUCUUAACAUAAGAGUAAAUGGAACUAUUUCUAGGAUAAUGACAGACAUAUAAACACUCACAUAAAAACAUCACAGCUACAAUCUUCAUAUGAAUAUUCAGUUGUGUAAGAAAGCAAUGGUUUCCGUUUGGUUUAAAUAACAAGAAAUUUAAAUACUUAUCUAGCCUUGCCAUCGGGAAAUUUGUUUUGAUUCACUGUUUGGGCUCAAGCACUCUGUUGUUACAGUAUGAUGUGUGGCUCCUAUGCUGUUCCAUUGGAUUGGGACACUCACUUCAGGUUUUCAGCCUCAUCCCUACUGGUUUCUACUGAGAAGCCUCAUCUUAAUGUCAGCAACAUUACUUCAGGUCCAGUAGAUCUAAUAUAUUUGAGGGACAGAAAUCUGUUCUGGGUAGAUUCUACAUCCCUUAUUCAUUCAUUUCACUUGUACUAAAUACCCUUGAAGUAUGAAAUAUCUUCCUAGAUGUUGAGAAAAAAAUACAGUCACUGAACACAUUUUCUGCUCUCUCCUAGAGUCUAGUCCAUCUUGAUGUGCAUUGAAGUGAUGUAACGAAUCAUUAUACAGAAAUCUUUUUUCCUCUUUUAAAAUAUUUAAAAAAAAUUUAUAUGUAAAUGAUUAUUAUCUUUGUCCCUCGAUAUUCAAGAGGAUUGGAUCUAGAUUACAUAUAGAUUCCAGAAUUGAUGGAUAAUACUCAAGAUAUCAAAUGGCAUCAUAUUUGAGUUCAACAUCUGUUCAGCCUCACAUCCUCUGUAAUGCUUUAACCUUUAGAUUAUUACAGUACCUACGACAUAUGACCACUAUGCAAAUAGUUAUAUUAUGUACGGAAUAAUUACAUGAAAAAGUCUGUUCAUGUUUGGCACACAGUUUUAACCCAUAGUUUUGAUCUGAGGUCACUCAGUAUACAGAUGUACGGUGCCUGGAUGUAAAAGACUGACUAUGUUUUGUUUCAUAGCCUGCACAUCUCUCAAAUGACUCUGAGCUUACAGCUCUGUUCUUCCUUUAAAGUUGCAAUUUUAAAAUAACCCAAGUACCCUUUUCUGCAUAUUUUGGAAGCUGAAAGAGCAUGUGUGAAUUCCCCUGACCCACUAAGCCACAGCAAUCCCUUCAGAGGCUUCAUAGGCACACCAGAACAUUAAUAUUUCCUAGAGGGAGCAAUGUUUCUUGAUAUCUCAUUCUCCCCCACUGUGAAUAUAUGGAGACCUAUAAAUGUCUCCUUUAGUAACUCCCAACUUGAAAAAAAUUGUCUAGGAGUUUUUUGAAAUUCCUAUCUUUUGCCCCAAAUAAGAAGGACGUGAUCAUGCCUUUGAUCUCGUAUCUAAGCCACUACUCAGUUCAUUAAAUUAUUAGUUAACUAAGCACAAUGAUGGCUUUGAAGAUGAAAAGAUGUUAUUUCUUCUCAGCUCAAAAGUACUCUGUGGGGUUAGGGGCAAACAAGCUCCUGUGUUCCGGGGACAGAGAAACAAAGGCAGUUACAGCUCUCAGAGUACCACCCUAAAGGCUACAAAAAAAAUGCAUUAUCAAAAGAAGUCUUUAGGAGUGGUUGAUGAAUUAGUAAGUGGGUGUCUCUCUCUCUCUCUCUCUUUUUUUUUUUUUUUUUUGCUUUUGUUGGUGUAUUUUUUCCCCCAACAUAAUACUUUUAUUAUUUGGGACUUUCAUACAAUUACCUGAUUACAAUUGACCUCCAGGAUCUAUCCUAUACUCUUGUUCCCACCCCGAAAGGAAAUAGAAGGGAUUGGCCACUGGGAGUUUGACCAUGUUCUAAUAAGUAUAUGGACAACAAAAAUUGGAUUAGGUAUCUUUAAAAUAUGUUAUCAGUUUAGUCUUGGUGGCUUUUUAAAGUUUUUUUUUUGUAUCAAUGAAGAAAAGGAAACUAAUCCUAUUUUUCCAAAACGUUUCUAAACCUUUUAAUAUUUGUAUAGUGGCUGGUGUUUUUAAUUUAGUGAAAAAGUCAUUCAAUUUAAUACUUAACUUCUAGAUUUACUGAGACGGUACUUAAUAUUAGAAAAACUGUUUUGGUUCAUUACAUUUUUUAAGAGGGUCUAAACUUUAAUCAGUGAGAAUUCACUCAAGCUUCUAGCUGCAGGAGCAGGCUAUUUUUAAGUAAUGUGACAACUUGAAAAUUUUAAAGCUCUUAUUCACAGUUUUUCAUGAGUGCCUGUGAAGUUUUGCAUUUUUCUAAUGAGAUAGUGCUUAUAAAUAGAAGUUCAUAAGCUCUAUAAGAUAUGUCUCAGAAAUAAAUUUUUGAGUCCGAGUUUGGUUUCUAUUUAGUAUUUUAGAGAUUAUUUUGAAAAGUAGCAUCAAAGCUUAUGUUUUUUAAGAGUUUUAGGAUUGGCUAGUCUUCUGUGUUAUUUUGUAAUCAUUCUUAAGUCAGUAUCUUGAGCAAAGAAAUGAUGAAAAAGUCUAAUAUCAUGCUAAUAUUGUUUAUAUCAGUAGUUCUCAACCUUCCUAAUGCUGUGACCCUUUAUAAUACAGUUCUUCAUGUUGUGGUCAUCCUCAGCCAUAAAAUUAUUUCCAUUGCUACUUCAUAACUGUAAUUUUGCUACUUUUAUGAAUUUUAAUGUAAAUAUUUUUGGAGAUAGAGGUUGCCAAAGGGGCCACAACCCACAAGUUGAGAAUCACUAAUUGAAAUAUAAUGUAGUAUUACAUGAUUGACAAGGGAAUCUUUAAUGAUUCUAUGAAUGAUCAAGAAAAGGAAGAGAAAAUACAGAGUCAGAAAUAGUGUCCAAAUUGGCAUUGUAUAGAUAAGCCUGGCAAAGCUGAGCCCAGACAAUGACGGCACCAUCAAAACACAAGACCACGAAGCAAUUAGCACUGAACAGAACAGCAAACAGUUAAAACUCACUUAAAAACAGCUAUCCUCAUGUUGAUGAGAGUAGAAUAAAAAUUCUUUUACUGAAAUUGAAAUUGGCAUAGCCCUUCUGGAAAAGAGGGUCAAAUGUGUCAACAAAACUAUGUUGUCAUUCAUGGUCUUUCAUUCACCAGUACUGCUUUUAAAGGGCAGACAUCUAGAUGAAAAAUAAGUCAGAGUGUUUGAGUCUAGAGUCUAUCUGUAGCCAUAAUUAGAAUUUGAGGAUAUAAAUGCUCAUUUGUGCCCUUAUUAGAGCCGAGAAAGUAAAAAUCCAGGAGAGUUAAGUACUUUUCCAGAAGUCCACAAGUAUCGGUGACAUGCCUGUAUCUGAUCUUUUGGAUUUCAACAGUAUACAUAUGGCUUAUCUUGAAAAGUAGAAAAUUUUGGCUGAAUGAUAGAUUUAUUUUAGGCUCUGGACCUACAAAGACAAUAAAACCUAAUAUUUACUGAACAUUUCCUGUGCGCAAACUUUUUCAUACGUGGAUUAUGUGAUCUGAUAGGAACAACCCUUUGGUGUCCUGUGUUUUUCAACAAGGAGACAGAGAAAUUCUCUAAAUGUCAGCAGUCUGAACAAUUGUUUUCCUGAGUUGCAGUUCUUAUCCACUCCAUUGGAUUCUCCAUGUGUGAGCUCUAGUCCUCAAAAAGCUCACAGAGCAUUUACAAGGAGACAGUGUUGUUAUGGUUCAGAACAUAUGAAUAACAUACCACGGGAACACAGGGGAGGACACCAUCAUUAUUAAUACUGCUGCGAUUUGUUUCUCCUAGUGCUGACAGGGUUUAUAAGAGGGUUCUCAAUAAUAACUCCAUCUCUAAGGUUUAUUUCUUUUGGAGUUUUCAGCUUUGGAUAAUCACAGGAACUGGGGAGAAGAUUCAGUGGGUAAAGUAUGAAGGAUCCAGGAAUAUAGAAAAAUAAAAUUAUAAGCUUAAGAGGUGAAAACUGACAGUCAUCAGCUCUAAAGGUUAACUGCUAACAAUGGCUCUCUGCUUAUAGCCUGCUCCUCUGUCAACAGCCAGGGGUUAACUUUUAACCCCCUUGCCCCUUAUAGCCAAUAACUGCCUGGACCAAAGUUAACUACAUGACUCCUAACAUGCACUCUGUGCCUAAUGCCUUCCCCCUUACUAUAAAAAGGGACUCAUAACCCCCCCCCCCCAUCCAACUGUCACAGUCUUAAAAUCCAACUCUGGCUGUGGUCUCAGCUAGCUGAUAAGCUUUUG
This is a long non-coding RNA of Peromyscus californicus insignis, 5870 nucleotides long. RefSeq lists it as uncharacterized. Lineage: Eukaryota; Metazoa; Chordata; Mammalia; Rodentia; Cricetidae. The record is from RefSeq and is a predicted model, not a curated record. The transcript has 4 exons.